GAGGGAGUGAGUAUUUCCUGGUUGAACGACAGAGAAACUGUUCCCAGAUACAAGUCUGCCCAAUAUUUGCCUUUCAUGGUAGCAUUUACUGCAGGAGCUGAAACACCAAAAUGAACACAUUGAAAACCUAAAGGUAUGUAUGUCAAUUUUUACAAUGCUUGAAAAUUGGGAAAUAAAGAAAAGUUGAAAAAAAUAAACAUGUCAAUCAUAAUCCCAUCUCCAAGAGAUAACAAGUAUUAACAUCCUGCUUUCACAGACAUCCUACACAGCCUAAGGAUUGGCUGAAGAUGUACCCCUGAGAGCCUUUUCCUUUAAGUGCGGUCAUGUGCACCAAAAGGAACUGAAGGACUUCCAAAAAGAUGCUCUCUCUACAUUGCAUCUCUGCCACCAGUCUUCCCGUCUCUCUCUCUCUCUAGAACAGCUGCUUGGAAGGAGCAAGCUGCCCACAGUAUGUUCAGUCACAUGGAGAGACACUUCUCUGUAUUGGAGCCAACAUUUACGGAGAAAGAAGAGCUCAGCCUGGGUCAUGUUCCCACUGGAUCACUGCACUAGCAUGAGUGAAUAAAAAAUGGGGAAUCAACGUUUAUAGUCAAAA
RNAcentral lists this long non-coding RNA (595 nucleotides) under Macaca nemestrina (pig-tailed macaque). RNAcentral's name for it is "lncRNA (ENSMNEG00000045870.1)". Lineage: Eukaryota; Metazoa; Chordata; Mammalia; Primates; Cercopithecidae. The record is from RNAcentral.